Suricata suricatta (meerkat) is the source of this 1141-nucleotide long non-coding RNA. RefSeq lists it as uncharacterized. Lineage: Eukaryota; Metazoa; Chordata; Mammalia; Carnivora; Herpestidae. The record is from RefSeq and is a predicted model, not a curated record. The transcript has 4 exons.
CCCCUCGGUCACCAGCGCCCUCCGGAGCAGCCUCGUCCUGAACCUCUAGCGGGGAGCCGGCACGCAUUGGCUAUUUUAGUUAGCCACACACACCGGAGAGAAGAGACGGUGCAUCCCAACUUCCGAGUCGAAAAGCGUCCCGUGUCCGUGCAAAGUCGCUGUUACCCAUCUGUGGAUAUUAUGCGGGGAAAUGGAAAGAAAAAAAACACGGCUUCCUAUUCAUUGUCUGUCGUCAUCGCUGCCUUCACACCCUCCAGCGCUGGGGAGCGGGCAGCUCUGAGUAAUUCCCCAGACACUGCCCAGAGCCUUCCACCCGAGGAGUCAGCCUCUUAGGACUCUCCAGUUACCCAAACCCGCUUCCUUCCAGGUUCCUCUCCUGCAGAUGAUCCUACAUUAUUGCACACUGCAGAUUUCUGAUGUCUUUAGGAACGUGAAAUGAGCCAUCGGAACCUGAGGAAUUUACGAUCAUCCAUGCAGGGUGACCUGAAGCCUGGAGAUCCACAAAACCGGAGGCAGUGUGUGAAAAUUCGUUUUCACUCCCACAAGGCAAGCCCUGCAUCGUGUUCCUCUCUGCUCACAAGCUCCCCAGCCAUUCCAGCUGCUGGGAACACCACAGCAGGUCUUUCAGAUGAGAAACGUAAUUUCUGUUCUGAAAAAGAUGGGGCAUCUUUGGAGAAGAGAAAACCACAGAGACGGGUUGUUCAUGUGUGUGAGGAGGGCUGCGGGGACCCUGAGAGGUGAGUGCUGGGACUUGGUGGGUUUUUCCGGGACCACACAGCCCAGGUAGGAAGAGAUAAACAGGCAUGGCUACUCCACAGGAAUGGCCUGGAGCAGCACUCUCUCUCUCUCUCUCUCUCUCUCUCUCUCUCUCUCUCUCUCUCUCUCUGUCCUAUAGACUAGGUAAGGAUUUUCAGAAAGGAUUACCUACAUUGCUGUUUUGUAACAUGAUCUACCCCUCCUCCUUCCUGUUAGUAAAUUUCAUGAGGAUUUGGAGGGAGAAAAUAACUAACUCAUAUGUGUGCUUUUUCGCCCUUCCCUUCUUUUCCUUUUCUUUUCUUUCCUUUUUUUUUCUCAUUUCCCCCCUGUCUAUGGGAAGGUUUUUAAAUAAGCAUAACAUUUAAAAAACAUAAAUGGGGUGGGG